AGUUACCUGGAAGGGUUCUAUCCUGUCUUCCCUGCUGCGGGGCCCACCUGACGGAAAACCCUGAUGUGGAAGGCCCCAGCACAGCAGGCCCCACAAGCAAGUCCAGCUGUGUGCUGCAAUGAUCAUCCAGUCAUCUAGAGGCUCCAAAUGCCUUAAUACAUGAUCGGCUCUGAUCAUCUCUCCAGCUUCCGAAUCCUGGAAUUUUCCUUUCAUGUAUGAAAUCAAGGAAUCAGGAACCUUAGGAAGACCUGCCCUUCAGAAAGACAAAUGCUGCAUGCUUCCUCUCAUGUUUAAAGACCAAAUUCAAAAGAAACGGAGAAAAUGGAUUUUGAUGCAUCAAGUGAAAGCACCCAUUGUUGAGAGCUACCCCCACCUCAUCCCUCAUUUUUGGAGGCAUAAGUUGUUCCCAAACUUUUAUUUUGGGGCAAAACCCGUCAUAAGCAACCUACAGUCCUCCUUAUAAUUAAUGUAAAACUGCAGACUUUCCAUCAACAGAAAAGUAGAGUCUUAGGCUGGCUGGUAGCAUGGCUAAUUUAGCUUUGUAAUGAGAUAAAGUAUGUAAUCAGAUGGCCAUGGGACCUAGGCAGCCAGACCCUGGGAAAUGUGCCGAUUUCUGACUGUGGUCUUUUGGGAUUGUCUCCUUGGGUCCACAGAGGGGAGUCAAGAAACCUGAUUGCUGGUGACCCUGGUCAUGGAGGCACCCUCUCUUCUGUCUUGGCCAGGGUGCAGUGGAGUUGAUUGCUCUACCGGAAACCUCCUGGACAAGCAGAGGGUGUAUGUUUACAAGCCGGUGGACCGUUUGCAUGCUUGUGUGUGGACAGGAGUCGGGAGACCCCAGAAUGCACUGGAGCCAGUGGUUCAUGGUGAGGCAGACGGUGUUCAGAGAGCAUGGUAUACAGACAGAGCUGGCUCUAUGGUGGACUCUCCGUAAGGCGCCUUUGGGAGAGCCAUAGGGCUGCCACUUGGUAGAAGUGAGUAAGAUGCUGAACACCUCUGUGUGGUCAGCCCCCUAAAAACCAAAGUUCCCUGUCAUGGCUCAGAAACAUUGCUGACACAUGGAGUGAGGAAAACCUCCACAUUGUAUAUUCAAGCCACAACCAAGCUCUCUCUGGAGUGGAUCCAGGGGAGCAGAGAAAAGGGAGGAGCCAUAUGGACCUUCACCUUCAUAGGCCGUGCAACCACCUUCACCAAUACCCAGCUGGCACCAGCCCAAUGCUGAUUUGAACAGUUCUAUUCCCAAGGCCUGGUCAGAGGCCCAGGGUGGUUUAGAACGGAAAGCACAUUGGGGAGGGUGGAUGCAGAGCCAGGAGAGCCCUAGAGACCAAGAAGAAAAAUAAGAAAUAGAACCCAUGGAGAGGGAAGGCCAAAUACUUGUGGAAAGGGGGCGUUCACUGUUUAGGCAGGGAGCUGCACUGGGACACAUGGGGACAUGAUGAGGUGGUUAUUAGGGCUCAUUGGAGUCCACCUAUUUGUCUAGGCUGGAUGGCAGCAAACACCAGGGAUCCCCCUACCUCUGCCCCCGUCCCAGAAUUGGGAUUAUAGCUUUUUAUAUGCAUUCUGGGGAUUCCUAACUCAGGACUGGCUGGGUAAAAGACAGGUCUUUAGCUGUCCUCAGUAGAACACCAGCCUUGAAGGGUAUAGAAACAAAUUCUUCCAAAGAAUCCGUUGUCUGUCUGGCUUUUUCCGCUCCCUGGAAAUCACAGGAAAUGGUACAAAGUUCUUUGGCAAUUUAACACUGAAAUAGUCCCUAAGGACCGCUAACAACAAUGGCACUUUGAAGUCUUCUGGCUGACCCAUAUCCUCCUAGCUUCACUCAGUCGAUGAAGAGCACCGACCUAGGAAGAACUUCCUGCAAUGCAGAGAAUUUCUUUUCUUAAUUCUGCUUUUUAAAAAAAUUAUUAUUCUUUAUUUUAUUUGUGUGUGUGUGCGUACACACAUGCAUGCACUCAAUAGUGCAAAUGUGUGUUCACUUACAAGUGCAUGUGGUAAUCAGCUGUCACCUUGAAUAUCAUCUUUACAAACACUAGCCAUUUCUUUUGAGACAGGGUCUAUCCAUUGGCCUGCAGCUAGCGGAUCAGGUUAAGCUGGCUGAGCAGUGGGCCCCAAGGAUCCUGCCUCUACCUCCCCAACACUGGGCUUACAAGCGUGCACCACCACACCCACCAUUUUACAGGGAUUCAGUGUGUCAGACACAGGCC
Molecule: non-coding RNA, 2198 nt
Organism: Peromyscus maniculatus bairdii (prairie deer mouse)
Lineage: Eukaryota; Metazoa; Chordata; Mammalia; Rodentia; Cricetidae
Source: RefSeq, a predicted model, not a curated record